AUGAACAAAAGCGCUAUAUGGCCAAUUAGAUGUUCUCACGACGAAGUGGACUUGGUGAAAACAAUUCUGGGAUGUUCGACGUCAGCCUUCCCGUGCACCUACUUGGGUCUACCCUUAACACUCAGAAAACAAUCUGCAGCGCAGAUACAAGGCCUGGUGGACAAGGUUCGUGAUUGUUUGCCUUAUUGGAAAGCAUACCUCUUACUGAAGAGUGGGCGACUAAUCUUGAUUCAAUCAGUGCUAUGUGCUAUACCAGUCCACUCCAUGCUUGCUCUGAACCUCCCAGCUAAAACCCUCUCGGUGUUGGUGAAGAUUUGUCGGGGAUUUUUGUGGUGCGGCAAGAGUGAGGCAAAAUGGGGUGAUUUCUCGGUGGCUUGGGAUGAGGUAUGUACGCUUAAAUGGGUUGGUGGCCUGGGGAUUCCAGAUUUGAGAUGGCUGAACAAAGCACUGCAAGCCCGAUGGCUUGGCUCCAAAGGACUGACAAUGAGAGAUCUUGGGCUGAGUUCUCCAUUGAUGUGCCCCCGGGAGCGAUGGCCUUGGCUCAGGCGGUGCUACGUCUUGAGCUUGCGUUGGUUUUCCUUGAAGAGGAAAGGGUGA
This 597-nucleotide ribosomal RNA is filed under the name Triticum aestivum (bread wheat). RNAcentral describes it as "partial small subunit ribosomal RNA". The record is from RNAcentral. Lineage: Eukaryota; Viridiplantae; Streptophyta; Magnoliopsida; Poales; Poaceae.